CCUACGGGAGGCAGCAGUGGGGAAUAUUGCACAAUGGGCGAAAGUCUGACCCAGCAACGCCGCGUGAAGGAAGAAGGCCUUCGGCUCGUAAACUUCUAUCAACAGGGACGAAGGAAAUGACGGUACCCGAAUCAUAAGCCACGGCUAACUACGUGCCAGCAGCCGCGGUAAUACGUAGGGGGCAAGCGUUAUCCGGAAUUACUGGGUGUAAAGGGUGAGUAGGCGGCAUGGUAAGUCAGAUGUGAAAGCCCUGGGCUCAACCCCAGGACUGCUUUUAGAACUGUCGGGCUAGAGUACAGGAGAGGAAAGCGGAAUUCCUAGUGUAGCGGUGGAAUGCGUAGAUAUUAGGAAGAACACCAGUGGCGAAGGCGGCUUUCUGGACAGAAACUGACGCUGAGGCACGAAAGCGUGGGGAGCAAACAGGAUUAGAUACCCGAGUAGUC
RNAcentral lists this ribosomal RNA (443 nucleotides) under uncultured bacterium. RNAcentral's name for it is "partial 16S ribosomal RNA". It matches the Rfam family "Bacterial small subunit ribosomal RNA", at positions 338 to 795 of the family's 1533-position model. The record is from RNAcentral.